GAUGAACGCUGGCGGCGUGCCUAAUACAUGCAAGUCGAGCGAACGGACGAGAAGCUUGCUUCUCUGAUGUUAGCGGCGGACGGGUGAGUAACACGUGGAUAACCUACCUAUAAGACUGGGAUAACUUCGGGAAACCGGAGCUAAUACCGGCUAAUAUUUUGAACCGCAUGGUUCAAAAGUGAAAGACGGUCUUGCUGUCACUUAUAGAUGGAUCCGCGUUGCAUUAGCUAGUUGGUAAGGUAACGGCUUACCAAGGCAACGAUGCAUAGCCGACCUGAGAGGGUGAUCGGCCACACUGGAACUGAGACACGGUCCAGACUCCUACGGGAGGCAGCAGUAGGGAAUCUUCCGCAAUGGGCGAAAGCCUGACGGAGCAACGCCGCGUGAGUGAUGAAGGUCUUCGGAUCGUAAAACUCUGUUAUUAGGGAAGAACAUAUGUGUGAGUAACUGUGCACAUCUUGACGGCACCUAAUCAGAAAGCCACGGCUAACUACGUG
RNAcentral lists this ribosomal RNA (497 nucleotides) under uncultured bacterium. Its description in RNAcentral is "partial 16S ribosomal RNA". It matches the Rfam family "Bacterial small subunit ribosomal RNA", at positions 28 to 507 of the family's 1533-position model. The record is from RNAcentral.